Molecule: ribosomal RNA, 484 nt
Filed under: uncultured bacterium
Lineage: Bacteria
Description: partial 16S ribosomal RNA
Rfam family: Bacterial small subunit ribosomal RNA
Source: RNAcentral
AGUGAACGCUGGCGGCGUGCUUAACACAUGCAAGUCGAACGAGAACGGGUUAUAGCUUGCUAUAAUUGUCAGCUAAGUGGCGCACGGGUGAGUAAUGUAUAGGUAAUAUGCCUCUUACUAAGGGAUAACAAAUGGAAACGUUUGCUAAUACCUUAUACUCCUUAUUAACAGAAGUUAAUAAGGGAAAGAUUUAUUGGUAAGAGAUUAGCCUGUAUUGUAUCAGUUAGUUGGUGGGGUAAUGGCUUACCAAGACUAUGACACAUAACUGGUUUGAGAGGAUGAUCAGUCACACUGGAACUGAGACACGGUCCAGACUCCUACGGGAGGCAGCAUUGGGGAAUACUGCACAAUGGACGAAAGUCUGAUGCAGCAACGCCGCGUGGAGGAUGACACAUUUCGGUGCGUAAACUCCUUUUAUAUGAGAAGAUAAUGACGGUAUUAUAUGAAUAAGCACCGGCUAACUCCGUGCCAGCCGCCGCCGUAA